Molecule: ribosomal RNA, 143 nt
Filed under: Cercozoa sp.
Lineage: Eukaryota; Cercozoa
Description: partial small subunit ribosomal RNA
Rfam family: Eukaryotic small subunit ribosomal RNA
Source: RNAcentral
AGUUGGUGGAGUGAUUUGUCUGGUUAAUUCCGUUAACGAACGAGACCUCAGCCUACUAUUGUAGUUGCAGGUUAUUUUGAUAAUCUCGACUUCUUAGAGGGACUGUCAGUUUUUAGCUGAUGGAAGUUUGAGGCAAUAACAGG